GGAGAAUGUUCAGGACUGUCGAGGCGCGCUCCGCACCUGGCCUGAAAGCGGGAGAUUUGGCAACCAGUGCGCGUGGGUGCGCCGGCCCUUGCAGCUGGGGACUCUGGAGGCAGACCUUGCCCAAAGCCAGAGGCAGGAACUCCCCAGAUCCUCCCAGGGUAGCAUGGGAGGAUGCCGCCUCCUCCAGGAAGCUCUCUAGCGCUUUUCCGAGUCCUGGAGCCAGGCGGGACUUCUCUGUGGUCGCCUAGAAGGGUAUGAACUUAGGGCAUCCCCAUCUGGGCUGUGAAGGUUUCUGACUUGGGGACCAGGUGCUCAGACCUUCCUGGAUGCUGCUUUCCACAAUAUCUCUACCAGGCAGGCAGGUUCUCUUCAUUUUGCAAAUUUGGUGAAACAGCAUUUGUAAAACUUUAGAAGCUUCCUUGGCUCACACAGGUGGUAGUGGCCCUGUCAGGAUUUGACCCAGGCUCUCGGAUUCCAGAGUUCCUGAAUUUAACCACCUGUACUGUGAUGCCUCCUUAUCAUGUGUGCAUCGUGCAUUACUAUUUUUUAUAGCCUGUAGGGUACUGAGCACCAUGCACACCUACAGUGAUCACAGGCACUGCCUACUGGAAGGUCUUCUUUGGCUGGGUUCCAGUUUCCUCAGACGAUGUAGGGCAGGGAGUUCCACUUGUUAGCAUAUCCCACAGGGCCUUUCUCUUCAAAUGGACCCCAGCAGCCAACCACACAGCUGCCUCAGCAAGCGUAGGAGAUGGCACAUCAGAGACCAACAAUUGUCAGCACAGCAAAACUGGGCAUUUCUUUUCUUACUGAGCUUUGCAGCUACCUACACAGUUGUGUGUGGCAUCUCCUCCUGGGUGCAAGGACAUGAGAUGACAUCAGCUACGAGCCUAUAUCCUUCAACCCUUGGAAGCCACUGAUCUGCUUUCUGUUUCUAUGGAUCCCCUGUUCUGGACAUUUCAUAUAAAUGGAACUGUAUGAUAUAUGGUCUUUUGUGUCUGGCUUUUUUCACUUGGCAUAAUGUUUUCAAGAUUCAUCCAUGUUGUAGCAUGGGUGUUUUUAUGGCUAAAUAAUAUGUGUUUUUAUGACCAAAUAACAUUCUAUUAUAUGGAUGUACCGCUUUUGUUUACCCAUUAAUCACCUGGGCAUUUGGAUUGUUUCUACCUUUUAGCCAUUAUGAAUAAUGCUGCAAACACUCAUAUAC
Molecule: long non-coding RNA, 1201 nt
Filed under: Homo sapiens (human)
Lineage: Eukaryota; Metazoa; Chordata; Mammalia; Primates; Hominidae
Description: long intergenic non-protein coding RNA 904
Source: RNAcentral